RNAcentral lists this ribosomal RNA (494 nucleotides) under uncultured bacterium. RNAcentral's name for it is "partial 16S ribosomal RNA". It matches the Rfam family "Bacterial small subunit ribosomal RNA", at positions 28 to 507 of the family's 1533-position model. The record is from RNAcentral.
GACGAACGCUGGCGGCGUGCUUAACACAUGCAAGUCGAACGGAAAGGCCUGCUUUCCCUUGUGGAUUGCGGGUACUCGAGUGGCGAACGGGUGAGUAACACGUGAGUGAUCUGCCCCCAACUUGGGUAUAAGCCUGGGAAACUGGGUCUAAUUCCCGAUAGGACUGCAGGGUGGUGCCUGUGGUGGAAAACGAUUUUCUAGUGGUUGGGGAUGAGCUCGCGGCCUAUCAGCUUGUUGGUGGGGUAAUGGCCUACCAAGGCGGCGACGGGUAGCCGGCCUGAGAGGGUGGACGGCCACAUUGGGACUGAGAUACGGCCCAGACUCCUACGGGAGGCAGCAGUGGGGAAUAUUACACAAUGGGCGGAAGCCUGAUGCAGCGACGCCGCGUGGGGGAUGACGGCCUUCGGGUUGUGAACUCCUUUCGACCGCGAGGAAGCCACCUGGUUGGAAGGGUGGUGACGGUAGUGGUAGAAGAAGCACCGGCUAACUACGUG